UCCUUGGGAGAGUCAAAGGAAGGUGACCA
This 29-nucleotide non-coding RNA is filed under the name Macaca fascicularis (crab-eating macaque). The record is from RNAcentral. Lineage: Eukaryota; Metazoa; Chordata; Mammalia; Primates; Cercopithecidae. RNAcentral also lists the same sequence under 1 other name.